CUCCUCCGCCACCGCGGCCGCCGCCUCCCCCCUCUCCGAGCCCCUGGCCCAUGGAGGCAGCUAGCGGGGCCGGCGACUUGGCACCGGCCUGGGGAUCGGCUGCGCGCCGCGCGCUGAGCACCGCAGCCCGAGGGCAGGCAGCGGCGGCCCGGCGCACGGGUUGAGCGAUGCCCGGGGCACGGGCGCGCCUGCCCGCCGCCGCCUGAGCGCCCCCGCGUGCCCCUUCCUCCUCUGGGGGGCCGGCGCCGGACCGAGCCGAGAGCCAGAGAAGGGGGCGUGAGCCAGGGGCCCCAAGCCGCGGCUUCCGAGCCACUACGGCCGUUUUGAGCCCCCACCCCCAAGUAGGCUGAGUUGAGGUCCCCCCUCGCCAUCCAUCAUAAUCUCCAAACUGGGCGUUUGGGCAUUUUUGAGCCAUUAAUAUUUAUUUUUUUUGUGUGUGCGGCAGGGGAUAUUUGAAGCCUUUUUUUUUUUUUCCGGGGGGUACUGAGCUCCCGCUCUCCCGACCGCCUCCCGGUCUCCUCCCCUCCUGAGACCCUCUCGACUCCAGCCCCGUUCCCCCUCCUCAGAUGGGUUCAUUGUGAGCUCCGCAACGGGCUGCGUGGCCGGACGCCUGCAAACUUUGCACAAAAAUCCGGCAAGGGGCGGAGGAGGAGGAGAAGGAGGAGGAGGGUGAGGGUGGCGGUGGGGUGGGG
This 692-nucleotide long non-coding RNA is filed under the name Marmota monax (woodchuck). The record is from RNAcentral. Lineage: Eukaryota; Metazoa; Chordata; Mammalia; Rodentia; Sciuridae.